RNAcentral lists this transfer RNA (75 nucleotides) under Rickettsiales bacterium. RNAcentral describes it as "tRNA-Glu". It matches the Rfam family "tRNA". From Rfam's summary of the family: Transfer RNA (tRNA) molecules are approximately 80 nucleotides in length. Their secondary structure includes four short double-helical elements and three loops (D, anti-codon, and T loops). The record is from RNAcentral. Lineage: Bacteria; Pseudomonadati; Pseudomonadota; Alphaproteobacteria; Rickettsiales.
GGUCCCUUCGUCUAGUGGUUAGGACAUCAGCUUCUCAAGCUGGUAACACGGGUUCAAGUCCCGUAGAGACUACCA